This 496-nucleotide ribosomal RNA is filed under the name uncultured bacterium. RNAcentral describes it as "partial 16S ribosomal RNA". It matches the Rfam family "Bacterial small subunit ribosomal RNA", at positions 28 to 507 of the family's 1533-position model. The record is from RNAcentral.
GAUGAACGCUGGCGGCGUGCCUAAUACAUGCAAGUCGAGCGAACGGACGAGAAGCUUGCUUCUCUGAUGUUAGCGGCGGACGGGUGAGUAACACGUGGAUAACCUACCUAUAAGACUGGGAUAACUUCGGGAAACCGGAGCUAAUACCGGAUGAUAUUUUGAACCGCAUGGUUCAAAAGUGAAAGACGGUCUUGCUGUCACUUAUAGAUGGAUCCGCGCUGCAUUAGCUAGUUGGUAAGGUAACGGCUUACCAGGGCAACGAUGCAUAGCCGACCUGAGAGGGGGUAGGCCCCCUCAGAAGCUGAGCGGCGGCCCAGAGUCUGAGGGAGGGCACAGGUGGGGAACGUACGCAACAGGGGGAAAGCUUGCCGAAGCAACGCAGGGCGGGUGAUGAAGGUCUUCGUGCGGUAAAACUGUGUUAUAGGGAAGAACAUAUGUGUAAGUAACUGUGCACAUCUUGACGGUACCUAAUCAGAAAGCCACGGCUAACUACGUG